RNAcentral lists this ribosomal RNA (510 nucleotides) under uncultured bacterium. RNAcentral's name for it is "bacterial SSU rRNA". It matches the Rfam family "Bacterial small subunit ribosomal RNA", at positions 32 to 507 of the family's 1533-position model. The record is from RNAcentral.
AUGAAACGCUGGCGGCAUGCCUAAGACAUGCAAGUCGAACGAGGUGGCCCAUUGAAGUCUGAGUGCUUGCACAAGAUGGAUUUGGAUUUUCCACCUAGUGGCAAACGGGUGAGUAACACGUGGGUUACCUGCCUCUAAGUUGGGGAUAACAACUGGAAACGGUUGAUAAUACCGAAUGUGCUCUACGGAGUAAAGAAGCCCUUAAAGCUUCGCUUAGAGAUGGGCCUGCGGCGUAUUAGUUAGUUGGUGGGGUAAUGGCCUACCAAGACGGCGAUGCGUAGCCGAACUGAGAGGUUAAUCGGCCACACUGGGACUGAGACACGGCCCAGACUCCUACGGGAGACAGCAGUUAGGAAUAUUCGUCAAUGGGAGAAACCCUGAACGAGCAAUGCCGCGUGAGUGAUGAAGGCCCUAUGGGUUGUAAAACUCUGUUGUUAAGAAAGAAUGGUAGAAUUAGGAAAUGAGUUCUACUUGACGGUACUUUUCAAGAAAGCCACGACUAACUACGUG